UGUGAGUCUCGAUGUGCUUUGUAAUC
RNAcentral lists this non-coding RNA (26 nucleotides) under Mus musculus (house mouse). The record is from RNAcentral. Lineage: Eukaryota; Metazoa; Chordata; Mammalia; Rodentia; Muridae.